AACAGGAUUAGAUACCCUGGUAGUCCACGCCGUAAACGAUGUCAACUAGUUGUUCGUGUCAUUAAGACGUGAGUAACGCAGCUAACGCGCUAAGUUGACCGCCUGGGGAGUACGGCCGCAAGGUUAAAACUCAAAUGAAUUGACGGGGGCCCGCACAAGCGGUGGAGCAUGUGGUUUAAUUCGAUGCAACGCGAAGAACCUUACCAUCCCUUGACAUCCAGUGAAUUUUUCAGAGAUGAAUUAGUGCCUUCGGGAACACUGAGACAGGUGCUGCAUGGCUGUCGUCAGCUCGUGUUGUGAGAUGUUGGGUUAAGUCCCGCAACGAGCGCAACCCUUAUCCUUAGUUGCCAGCACGUAAAGGUGGGAACUCUGGGGAGACUGCCGGUGAUAAACCGGAGGAAGGUGGGGACGACGUCAAGUCAUCAUGGCCCUUACGGGAUGGGCUACACACGUGCUACAAUGGCGCAUACAAAGGGCAGCAAGCCAGCGAUGGUUAGCGAAUCUCAUAAAGUGCGUCGUAGUCCGGAUCGGAGUCUGCAACUCGACUCCGUGAAGUCGGAAUCGCUAGUAAUCGUGGAUCAGAAUGCCACGGUGAAUACGUUCCCGGGCCUUGUACACACCGCCCGUCACACCAUGGGAGUGGGCUGCACCAGAAGUGGUUAGUUUAACCUUCGGGAGAACGAUCACCACGGUGUGGUUCAUGACUGGGGUGAAGUCGUAACAAGGUAACC
This 731-nucleotide ribosomal RNA is filed under the name uncultured bacterium. Its description in RNAcentral is "bacterial SSU rRNA". It matches the Rfam family "Bacterial small subunit ribosomal RNA", at positions 771 to 1501 of the family's 1533-position model. The record is from RNAcentral.